CAGCCGCCGCGGGAAAACGGAGAAUCCAAGCGUUAUCCGGAAUCAUUGGGUUUAAAGGGUCCGUAGGCGGUUUAGUAAGUCAGUGGUGAAAGCCCAUCGCUCAACGGUGGAACGGCCAUUGAUACUGCUGAACUUGAAUUAUUAGGAAGUAACUAGAAUAAGUAGUGUAGCGGUGAAAUGCUUAGAGAUUACAUGGAAUACCAAUUGCGAAGGCAGGUUACUACUAAUUGAUUGACGCUGAUGGACGUAAGCGUGGGGAGCAAAUGGGAUUAGAUACCCCCGUAGUCCCUGUCUCUUAUAA
Molecule: ribosomal RNA, 301 nt
Filed under: uncultured bacterium
Lineage: Bacteria
Description: partial 16S ribosomal RNA
Rfam family: Bacterial small subunit ribosomal RNA
Source: RNAcentral